AUUGAACGCUGGCGGCAGGCCUAACACAUGCAAGUCGAACGGUAGCACAGAGAGCUUGCUCUCGGGUGACGAGUGGCGGACGGGUGAGUAAUGACUGGGAAACUGCCCGAAGGAGGGGGAUAACUACUGGAAAGGGUAGAUAAGACCGCAUAACGUCGCAAGACCAAAGUGGGGGACCUUCGGGCCUCACACCAUCGGACCGUCCCGGAUGGGAUUAGCUAGUAGGUGGGGUAAUGGCUCACCUAGGCGACGAUCCCUAGCUGGUCUGAGAGGAUGACCAGCCACACUGGAACUGAGGCACGGUCCAGACUCCGACGGGAGGCAGCAGUGGGGAAUAUUGCACAAUGGGCGCAAGCACGAUGCAGCCAUGCCGCGUGUAUGAAGAAGGCCUUCGGGUUGUAAAGUACUUUCAGCGGGGAGGAAGGCGGUGAAGUUAAUAACUUCACCGAUUGACGUUACCCGCAGAAGAAGCACCGGCUAACUCCGUGCCAGCAGCCGCAGUAA
RNAcentral lists this ribosomal RNA (504 nucleotides) under uncultured bacterium. Its description in RNAcentral is "partial 16S ribosomal RNA". It matches the Rfam family "Bacterial small subunit ribosomal RNA", at positions 29 to 523 of the family's 1533-position model. The record is from RNAcentral.